CCGCGCGGCCGCGGGAAGCUGUUGGCCACGGAGGGCGGAGGGGCUGCGCCUGGAGGCGCUGGACGCGGAGUUGCUGUGGAGAGUUGCUACCUCUUUGGAAAUGUACAGCUUCAGAAAUGACAAUGGGUGACACCACAGCUACGUUGGCACAUGGACAGCCUUGGAGAUGAGGACAGUGAAUGUCCACCAGCAUUUCAUCCUCCCGGAAGAGAUGUGUGGUCAGCACUGCUUUGUUCCCCUAUUGUUGCUUCUUGCGACUCGUCUUCCCAUUUAUUCAGUUCCUCGUGAUCUUAUUAUAUAACCUCUUGCUGAAGUAUGAUUUUCAAAAAGGAAGCUGCCUUGUUGUAUGCAGCUCUAAGGAGGAACCCAGCUGGCAGAAAACCGAAGCCACUGGCCAACAGCCAACUAGGAACUGUGUCCUGGCAGUAACCAAGUUUUGGCUCUUACCCAACCACAGAUUUUUUUAAAAAAAUGUUUGGAUGAAGAAUGCUUUUCAUUCCAUGGCUGAAGGAGUGACUGGAAGUAUCCAAC
Ochotona princeps (American pika) is the source of this 531-nucleotide long non-coding RNA. RefSeq lists it as uncharacterized. The record is from RefSeq and is a predicted model, not a curated record. The transcript is spliced from 4 exons. Lineage: Eukaryota; Metazoa; Chordata; Mammalia; Lagomorpha; Ochotonidae.